UGGAUUAUUUAUGUCCACUAAUGACCGUGACACGUAGUCGAUAAACAUUUAUAACGGUUAGAUGUGUAGGUUCCGCACAUUCCGAUCUUAGAUGAUCAUGGAAAGAUAAGCCGACUGCAUGUCGGUAAUAGUAGUAGGUCGGUAGUCGUAGAGAUCCGAAUGAGCAUCGGACGGUGACUCUGAUAUGCCAAUGGUCCUCAAUCGGAUAUUAAGUGAGUCAUCGUGGUUGUCCAUUG
Molecule: long non-coding RNA, 236 nt
Filed under: Elaeis guineensis (African oil palm)
Lineage: Eukaryota; Viridiplantae; Streptophyta; Magnoliopsida; Arecales; Arecaceae
Description: long non-coding RNA (EGUI_LNC014102)
Source: RNAcentral